RNAcentral lists this ribosomal RNA (483 nucleotides) under uncultured bacterium. RNAcentral's name for it is "bacterial SSU rRNA". It matches the Rfam family "Bacterial small subunit ribosomal RNA", at positions 28 to 523 of the family's 1533-position model. The record is from RNAcentral.
GACGAACGCUGGCGGCGUGCUUAACACAUGCAAGUCGAACGGUAAGGCCCUUCGGGGUACGACGAGUGGCGAACGGGUGAGUAACACGUGGGUGAUCUGCCCUGCACUUCGGGAUAAGCCUGGGAAACUGGGUCUAAUACCGGAUAGGACUCCGAAUCGCAUGGUUUGGGGUGGAAAGCUUUUGCGGUGUGGGAUGGGCCCGCGGCCUAUCAGCUUGUUGGUGGGGUGAUGGCCUACCAAGGCGACGACGGGUAGCCGGCCUGAGAGGGUGUCCGGCCACACUGGGACUGAGAUACGGCCCAGACUCCUACGGGAGGCAGCAGUGGGGAAUAUUGCACAAUGGGCGCAAGCCUGAUGCAGCGACGCCGCGUGAGGGGAUGACGGCCUUCGGUUGGUAAACCUACUUUCAUAGGACGAAGCGUAAGUAGACGGUACCGUAUAGAAGAAGACACCGGCCAACUACGUAGCCAGCAGCCGCGGUAA